AGUACCUACUGAUUACAAUUACCUACUUUGUCAUAAAAGUAUUUAAUUACAGUAAUUGUUUACUUCAGAAAAUUUGUAUUCGAUUACUGAUUACUAUUGUAAUCGAUUACUUCCCAGCUCUGCCUUGAAGCAACAAUUUCCAAAAAAUACCUAUAAAAAUAAGAAGGAUCUGGAUAGCAUUGCGCACUCUGCGCAAUUUAAUUAUCAAUAACCUUUUUCUUGAUUGAGGCUAUAAGAUAGGGAAUGCAGAAAGAACGAACCAAAUAUCUUAAAAUCUGUAGGACGGAUAUAGUGGCCAUAAUACGCCUUCCAACGUAUUACCUAGUUGGUAAAAGUGCUAAAAAUAACAGUACUAAGUAUAGCUAAUAAUAUUUACGAGGACGAUGUAAAACUUCAUGUAAUGACUAAUGAGCGAUGAGCCCUACGCUAAUCGUAUCGAAACAUCACAUUAAUGCAGAGCGCGGCUCCAACAUAAAUCCACCCUUUAUAUACUUACCUACGUUGUUUGUUAUCUGGUUUACUUCCUUUGACACAUAUAAUUUCCCACCUUACCGUAAUAUACUUAUGUCACAGGAUAUAUCAUUUUAGCAUAUAUGUGACCACGUUGAUGAAUCCAAAAACCACGACACUAUGCUACCCACUUCAAAUUGCUGCAAAGACCAAAUAUUCUUCGAAUUGACACAGAGCAACUGUGCGGUUACACAUUUGGAGCAAGGUCGCUGAUCAACGCGCCCGCAUUGUCAGAAAAAUGCCAAAGAUGUGAGCACUGUCCACCAAAUUUCGUAUUCCAGAUUGUUUUUUUCCGAAGCAACUUCUACAAUAUGGAAAAUCACAAAUUUUCUGAUUUGGACGUGGUUUCCUUACCGCACCUUCCCCUGUAGAACUUCCAAGGAGAAAAGGAUGGCUCCCUAUAACAAUAAAAUAGCUAUUUUCAAAUGUAUAUAAAUUGUGACUGAAGGUGUCUUUGUUAAUAA
This is a long non-coding RNA of Photinus pyralis (common eastern firefly), 974 nucleotides long. RefSeq lists it as uncharacterized. NCBI's taxonomy places the organism in Eukaryota, Metazoa, Arthropoda, Insecta, Coleoptera, Lampyridae. The transcript has 3 exons. The record is from RefSeq and is a predicted model, not a curated record.